UAGGGAAUCUUCGGCAAUGGGGGGAACCCUGACCGAGCAACGCCGCGUGAGUGAAGAAGGUUUUCGGAUCGUAAAGCUCUGUUGUUAAGGAAGAACGAGUGUGAGAAUGGAAAGUUCAUGCUGUGACGGUACUUAACCAGAAAGGGACGGCUAACUACGUGCCAGCAGCCGCGGUAAUACGUAGGUCCCGAGCGUUGUCCGGAUUUAUUGGGCGUAAAGCGAGCGCAGGCGGUUAGAAAAGUCUGAAGUGAAAGGCAGUGGCUCAACCAUUGUAGGCUUUGGAAACUGUUUAACUUGAGUGCAGAAGGGGAGAGUGGAGUUCCAUGUGUAGCGGUGAAAUGCGUAGAUAUAUGGAGGAACACCGGUGGCGAAAGCGGCUCUCUGGUCUGUAACUGACGCUGAGGCUCGAAAGCGUGGGGAGCGAACAGG
This 429-nucleotide ribosomal RNA is filed under the name Bacteroidota bacterium. RNAcentral describes it as "Bacteroidetes bacterium partial 16S ribosomal RNA". It matches the Rfam family "Bacterial small subunit ribosomal RNA", at positions 355 to 776 of the family's 1533-position model. The record is from RNAcentral. RNAcentral also lists the same sequence under 1 other name. Lineage: Bacteria; Pseudomonadati; Bacteroidota.